AGCCUCUCUCUUCCCAACCAGGGUUUGGAAAUGGUUAUACUUCACCUAAAGUUGUUUACAUGAUGCCUGCCAGUUGAAAGAAAACCAACAAUGCUUGACACAGAGUGACAUGGCAGAAGAUUAAGCACUUGAGCAAUAAUGUGGCAAUUCACCAAAAGAGGUCUUAGUUAGGUGCUAUCUGAAAUCAUGAAAUUAAGUGGGAAAACAUACACAUGGAAAAGGUUUAUAUGUUUAAGAAAAAUAAAUCCAAAUUUUAGAUAAAUGAUACUCUUCACAAAGUAUACUAAACAAAUGACAUAUUUUCAUUGGCUGAUAGCGUCAUUUAUACACAUAUAUCAUUUUCCAUGUGCCAAGCCCUCCUGAGUGCCUCUCCUCUCAACCACUCCAUGAAAGUCAUUAUGGGAGGAAACAGAAGGGUCAGCAAUGUUAAGGUCAUUUCCCCUAAACCAUACAGCCGCCAAGUGGAAGCUACAGGAUUCCAACCUAGGUCUGAUGAUUGCCAAACCAAGAUGCUUCACCAUUAUUUGUUCUCUGGAAACAUUGAAAGUAUAAGUCCUUUUUAUAAACAGGAAGUAAUGGAAGUCUCCUUCAAAAGGCAUAAUAAAUCACUCCAGGAGAUACAGAGUUAAUCUGAGAAUAGCUGGAGAACAAUGAGAGAAUCUAGGCUGAACUUUACACAUCACAACAUACAAGGAGGCAGAAAGUGGGACUGGUGAAUGGAAAAGAAUAAAGGCUGAUGGUAUCAAUGUA
Prionailurus viverrinus (fishing cat) is the source of this 750-nucleotide long non-coding RNA. RefSeq lists it as uncharacterized. NCBI's taxonomy places the organism in Eukaryota, Metazoa, Chordata, Mammalia, Carnivora, Felidae. The transcript is spliced from 2 exons. The record is from RefSeq and is a predicted model, not a curated record.